Molecule: signal recognition particle RNA, 297 nt
Filed under: Callithrix jacchus (white-tufted-ear marmoset)
Lineage: Eukaryota; Metazoa; Chordata; Mammalia; Primates; Cebidae
Description: Metazoan signal recognition particle RNA (ENSCJAG00000036559.4)
Rfam family: Metazoan signal recognition particle RNA
About the family: The signal recognition particle (SRP) is a universally conserved ribonucleoprotein. It is involved in the co-translational targeting of proteins to membranes.
Source: Rfam by way of RNAcentral
GCUGGCUGUGGUGGUGCACGUGCCUGUAGUUCUAUCUGUUCAAGAGGUUAAGACAAGAGGAUUAUUUGAGCCUAUGAGUUCUGGGCUGUAGUACUCUAUGCAGAUUGGGUGUCCACAUUAAGUAUCAGUGUGGUAAACUCCCAGGAGCUGGGAACCACCAAGUUGCCUAAGGAGUCAUGAACCAGCCCACUUUGGAAAUGGAGCAGGUCAAAACUCCCAUGCUGAUCCAUAGUGGGAUCAUACCUUUGAAUAGUCUCUGCACUCUAGCAUGGACAACAUAGUAAGACCUCAUCACUU